UAAUUCUUCAGCUUCACUUGUGCCUUCUUCGCCUAGUAAAAUAUAACGUCCUAAUGUCAACCAACCAUGGUUGUAGGUUUGGAUCCUACUUGGGUGAGACGAAUUCAUAAUAAAAGGGCUAUCUUUAUUUACCCCCAACUCGAAGCCUACUUACCAUAUAACCGAUUCGUUACAUACACAAAUGUGGAAUAUAAGCACAGAACAAUCUGGAAGAAAACAUUCAAAUCCCAAAUGUCAUUAUUUUGCAAGUCCAUGAACGCUAGAAGAAAUCCUGCAAACAUCAAGCAUCACAGCAGCAAAAAUCUGAGAUAGCAGACUAAAAGUGCAUACAAGACGAGUAUACGGGUGCUAUUAACUACAAUUAGUAUGUCGGCAUUCUAUUUUUCAAUUUUUCUGAAGUUUUCUUUUUUAAUAAGCAAUUCUCGCAUGUGACGAGAUUUAGUAAUGCAACAGCUAAGAAUUAUCACCUGAACAAGAAAAAGUAGAUGCAUUCUUCUGCUGAUCGCCUUGAAGUUGAAUAACCUUUAGAAGAAAGUCAUGUUUGAAUGCGAAAAUCGAAAUGCAACAAAACAAGAGGAACAGGGACACAGAAUACUUCAUCCAGAAUUGUUCAAAAGCAAUACAAACUUGGCCUAGUU
This 638-nucleotide long non-coding RNA is filed under the name Olea europaea subsp. europaea. Lineage: Eukaryota; Viridiplantae; Streptophyta; Magnoliopsida; Lamiales; Oleaceae. The record is from RNAcentral.